Molecule: ribosomal RNA, 405 nt
Filed under: uncultured bacterium
Lineage: Bacteria
Description: bacterial SSU rRNA
Rfam family: Bacterial small subunit ribosomal RNA
Source: RNAcentral
GGGGAAUAUUGCACAAUGGGCGCAAGCCUGAUGCAGCAACGCCGCGUGAGGGACGACGGCCUUCGGGUUGUAAACCUCUUUUAGUAGGGAAGAAGCGAAAGUGACGGUACCUGCAGAAAAAGCACCGGCUAACUACGUGCCAGCAGCCGCGGUAAUACGUAGGGUGCAAGCGUUGUCCGGAAUUAUUGGGCGUAAAGAGCUCGUAGGCGGUUUGUCACGUCUGCUGUGAAAUCUGGGGGCUCAACCUCCAGCCUGCAGUGGGUACGGGCAGACUAGAGUGCGGUAGGGGAGAGUGGAAUUCCUGGUGUAGCGGUGGAAUGCGCAGAUAUCAGGAGGAACACCGAUGGCGAAGGCAGACCUCUGGGCCGUAACUGACGCUGAGGAGCGAAAGCAUGGGGAGCGAAC